UACAGAGGGGGCAAGCGUUGUUCGGAAUUACUGGGCGUAAAGGGCGCUUAGGCGGCCUUCUAAGUCGAACGUGAAAUCCCCGGGCUCAACCCGGGAACUGCGUCCGAUACUGGGAGGCUUGAAUCCGGGAGAGGGAUGCAGAAUUCCAGGUGUAGCGGUGAAAUGCGUAGAUAUCUGGAGGAAUACCGGUGGCGAAGGCGGCAUCCUGGACCGGCAUUGACGCUGAGGAGCGAAAGCUAGGGGAGCAAACGGG
This 253-nucleotide ribosomal RNA is filed under the name uncultured bacterium. Its description in RNAcentral is "partial 16S ribosomal RNA". It matches the Rfam family "Bacterial small subunit ribosomal RNA", at positions 524 to 776 of the family's 1533-position model. The record is from RNAcentral.